RNAcentral lists this ribosomal RNA (497 nucleotides) under uncultured bacterium. RNAcentral's name for it is "partial 16S ribosomal RNA". It matches the Rfam family "Bacterial small subunit ribosomal RNA", at positions 28 to 508 of the family's 1533-position model. The record is from RNAcentral.
GACGAACGCUGGCGGCGUGCCUAAUACAUGCAAGUAGAACGCUGAAGGAAGGAGCUUGCUCUUUCUGGAUGAGUUGCGAACGGGUGAGUAACGCGUAGGUAACCUGCCUGGUAGCGGGGGAUAACUAUUGGAAACGAUAGCUAAUACCGCAUAAAAUUGAUUAUUGCAUGAUAGUCAAUUAAAAGGUGCAACUGCACCACUACCAGAUGGACCUGCGUUGUAUUAGCUAGUUGGUGGGGUAACGGCUCACCAAGGCGACGAUACAUAGCCGACCUGAGAGGGUGGCGGGCCACACUGGGAGGGAGACCCGGCACAGCCUCCAGGGGGGGGCGGCGGGAGGGAGUCUUGGGGAAGGAGCGGGGGCGAGCCCAAAAGGGGCGGAGGGAGGAAGGAGGUUGUUCGGAGGAAAAAGCUCUGUUUAAGGAGAGGAAGGGGUGGGGGAGUGGAAAGUACAGCGAGUGAGGGUAUCUUACAGAAAAGGCACGGCAAACUACGGC